CAUGCGGAUGCUUACCUGCAAGUCGAACGAGACAAAAGAGAAGUGCUUGCACGGAUCUUUUAGAAAGUGGCGAACGGGUGAGUAACGCGUGGGUAACCUGCCCUAUGGAAAGGAAUAGCCUCGGGAAACUGGGAGUAAUGCCUUAUAAUACAGUGAAGUCGCAUGGCUUUGCUGUUAAACGCUCCGGUGCCAUAGGAUGGACCCGCGUCCCAUUAGCUAGUUGGUGAGAUAACAGCCCACCAAGGCGACGAUGGGUAACCGGUCUGAGAGGGCGAACGGUCACACUGGAACUGAGACACGGUCCAGACUCCUACGGGAGGCAGCAGUGGGGAAUAUUGCGCAAUGGGGGAAACCCUGACGCAGCAAUACCGCGUGAGUGAAGAAGGUUUUCGGAUCGUAAAGCUCUGUUAUUGGGGAAGAAAAAAGACGGUACCCAAGAAGAAAGUCCCGGCUAACUACGUGCCAGCAGCCGCGGUAAUACGUAGGGGACAAGCGUUGUCCGGAUUUACUGGGCGUAAAGGGCACGCAGGCGGUUUUUUAAGUCAGAUGUGAAAGGUACCGGCUCAACCGGUGACAUGCAUUUGAAACUGAAAGACUUGAGUAUUGGAGAGGCAAGUGGAAUUCCUAGUGUAGCGGUGAAAUGCGUAGAUAUUAGGAGGAACACCGGUGGCGAAGGCGGCUUGCUGGACAAAUACUGACGCUGAGGUGCGAAAGCGUGGGGAGCAAACAGGAUUAGAUACUCUGGUAGUCCACGCCGUAAACGAUGAGUGCUAGGUGUUGGGGAGACUCAGUGCCGCAGCUAACGCAAUAAGCACUCCGC
This 820-nucleotide ribosomal RNA is filed under the name uncultured Acetobacterium sp. RNAcentral describes it as "bacterial SSU rRNA". It matches the Rfam family "Bacterial small subunit ribosomal RNA", at positions 36 to 872 of the family's 1533-position model. Lineage: Bacteria; Bacillati; Bacillota; Clostridia; Eubacteriales; Eubacteriaceae. The record is from RNAcentral.